RNAcentral lists this ribosomal RNA (664 nucleotides) under Humidicutis sp. 3 DJL-2103. RNAcentral's name for it is "eukaryotic LSU rRNA". The stretch from base 256 to 410 matches the Rfam family "5.8S ribosomal RNA". Lineage: Eukaryota; Fungi; Basidiomycota; Agaricomycetes; Agaricales; Hygrophoraceae. The record is from RNAcentral.
UUUAGAGGAAGUAAAAGUCGUAACAAGGUUUCCGUAGGUGAACCUGCGGAAGGAUCAUUAUUGAAAUCGUUCGUGAAAGGCUGUUGCUGGUCUCCGAGAGGGGGCAUACAAUUAAUUAGUGCACGCCUUUCUUCGUUYGCUUCUUCCACACACACACCCUGUGCAUCUUUUGUAGGUUGAGACAUCGACCUAUGCCUUUUUCUUAAUAAUUCAUUCUUAUCUAUCAUUGGAAAGUGCGCAUUUAUUUAUUAAUACAACUUUCAACAACGGAUCUCUUGGCUCUCGCAUCGAUGAAGAACGCAGCGAAAUGCGAUAAGUAAUGUGAAUUGCAGAAUUCAGUGAAUCAUCGAAUCUUUGAACGCACCUUGCGCUCCUUGGAUAUUCCGAGGAGCAUGCCUGUUUGAGUGUCAUGAAACUUUCAAAGCCCUUUUCUUUUUUCGAAAGGGAGGAGGCUUUUGGAUUGUGGAGUUGUGUGCUGGAAGAGAGGACAACUCUCUGUCAGCUCCUCUAAAAUGCAUUAAGCUUUUGCCUCGUGCGGACGUGUCAAAGAGCUCGUUGGUAUGAUAAUAUUUUGUCUAUGCCCACUUGCCAGUCUGCGUUGCAGGUAUCCGCUCGCACACAGAGAAAAAUAUCAUUGUAAUCAUUUGACCUCAAAUCAGGUAGG